GGAGCUUCCUGCACAUAAAAGUCUGGAAUUUCAUAGCAAUGUGGGGGCAAAAGCUAUGAUCGCAUUUCCCCCUUUCUAAAUUAUAUACUGCUUAGUGUUAAUGUGAGCAGAGGGCUGGAUGGCGACGGGCUCGCAGCUUACAUGCUGUUCUGAAAACUCGGUUUAGUGGCAGCUAUAAAUGCUCAUCUGUAGCACCUCCCUUUUCCCUCCCAUUUGGAAGAAGGAGCAAGAGACUGUCUUCUAGGAUGAGAGAGAUGAGAGAGAUGGCAUUAAAACUUGACAUCAGAUGAACCCUUCAGCUCUCUCAACCUGCAUAAUUCUCUUUUGGGAAGGAGAGACUGGUCUCCAAGCACUUACUACACCUCCUCUGAACCAGAAACCAUAUCAGCACAUUCUGAGUUAACCUUAAUUGUAAAAGACUAGAAAAAAA
RNAcentral lists this small RNA (430 nucleotides) under Pongo abelii (Sumatran orangutan). RNAcentral describes it as "sense intronic". The record is from RNAcentral. Lineage: Eukaryota; Metazoa; Chordata; Mammalia; Primates; Hominidae.